Molecule: transfer RNA, 74 nt
Filed under: Sphaerodactylus townsendi
Lineage: Eukaryota; Metazoa; Chordata; Lepidosauria; Squamata; Sphaerodactylidae
Description: tRNA-Ala
Rfam family: tRNA
About the family: Transfer RNA (tRNA) molecules are approximately 80 nucleotides in length. Their secondary structure includes four short double-helical elements and three loops (D, anti-codon, and T loops).
Source: RNAcentral
UGGAGAUUAGGCUUAGUGAUAGAGCAUCUGCUUUGCAUGCAGAAGGCCCCAGCCUGAACCCGUGGCAUCUCCAA